RNAcentral lists this ribosomal RNA (276 nucleotides) under uncultured bacterium. RNAcentral's name for it is "partial 16S ribosomal RNA". It matches the Rfam family "Bacterial small subunit ribosomal RNA", at positions 77 to 354 of the family's 1533-position model. The record is from RNAcentral.
CGGAAAGGGAAAGGCUUAGUGGCGGACGGGUGAGUAACGCGUGGGUAACCUGGCCCAUACAGGGGGAUAACACUUAGAAAUAGGUGCUAAUACCGCAUAACAACAGAAAGCGCAUGCUUUUUGUUUGAAAACCAAGGUGGUAUGGGAUGGACCCGCGUCUGAUUAGCUGGUUGGCGGGGUAAAGGCCCACCAAGGCGACGAUCAGUAGCCGGCCUGAGAGGGUGGACGGCCACAUUGGGACUGAGACACGGCCCAAACUCCUACGGAAGGCAGCAG